Molecule: long non-coding RNA, 2505 nt
Organism: Homo sapiens (human)
Lineage: Eukaryota; Metazoa; Chordata; Mammalia; Primates; Hominidae
Source: Ensembl
GCUCUUAGGAUGAAGUGACUGGAGCCCAGAUACCUUAUUUAGCAAUCAGUGCUCGGCACAAGGACUUGCUGUGCCAACGAAAAGGAAGCGAGGCAUUUUGGCUAGUCACCGCGUUUUUGCUGCGUCACAGGGAGACAGAAGAUGGGCUGCUAUUUCGUCGGCUAAAUGCUAUCAUUUUAAGCACCGUUCCAAAGAAAACAGGGAUCUUGCCAGAGGAAAAUAACAUAUACCAUAAAGGAAAAAGAAAUGUGCAUCAAGGCAAAUAAACAGCUCUCUACUAAGGGCCUAGGAUCUUGCUAGACGAGUCAUUUCUCUGGUUGAAAAGCAGUUGAGAAAGGCAAGACAAGGGGGGCGGGGGCCCAGCAGGGCACCUCUGAGCCCUUCCUGCUGCUCUUCAAAGACAGACGCAUUUUCCUUUCUACGGUCUCCUUGCAAGUCUUCUGUAGGCCCUGCCACCUUCAGGCUGACUGACUGCCUCCUUCAAAUAUCAGCAUUUGGCUCAGAAGAAAAGCCACGUCUGCCUACACAAUCUCACAAUCCGGCUUCAGCAAAGCAUGAGUUAAUUCAACUUCAUACUCGUGAACGUGAAGCGGGGGUUGGAAGGAAUGAAGGCUGCAGGACACCCAUGUACCAAGAAAAAGAAAGACAAAUUGGUUGUUUUAUCUACUUUACAUCAUGAUGGAGUCCUAAAAAGGGCCCCAUGAAGGCAGGCAGCCCAGGGAGGAAUGACUGGACGGUGACAUUGUGCAGGGGGUCUGGAAGUUGCCAGCGCAGGGGUUAGCAGCUGCAGCCUGGCCUGGUCCUGUCUGCCUGGCUGUCAAACCCAGAAGACCGUGGUUUCUGGUGGCCUCUGUGUGACAGCGGAGGAGGUGGGGCGAGGCCUGGAAGUGAAGCAUCUCGUGAGCCACUUAAGUGUUUAUGAAGCUCGCUAAUGUGCUUAAAUGAACGAGAAGCAGGUACUUGCUCCCAGGACCAGAGCCACCAAAGCAAUUUCCUCUGCAGCCCCUCAUACUUCGCACACUGGAAGCUUGCAUUCUUUCCCAGAGGACAGCCGGAUUACAGCACCGCCUCUAAUGCAACCCGAUCUGGUUUCUUUGAGCGCCGCGGUGAACGUGCAAUCUAUCUCAUAAAUGCAUCGCAGUGUUCCACAAAUCACCCACGUUCAUCCCUUGAGACGUCUUUAACUCGGGGCUUAGAGUUGCAAAUGAAUUCUCCUAUGGAUCUAUUAUUCCAUCAAAUAGCGGAGAGAGGGGACUAGCUUGUGCAGAGCCUUCAUAGAGCUGGGCUAAAUUCGAUUAUGCAAAGUCUAACGAGCACCAUUCAGCAAAACCAUGGUGGGUGUGAGCUGCAGGCCAGCCCCUCCACUGGGCCAUUAUCCAGGGGUAAACACCACUCGUGGGUUAGUUCCACGAGUUACUGGCUGAUUUGACCUGUGAUACUCCAAGGUGGAAGUAACCAAAUAAUAUGUAUCAUGAGCCCCAAGAACGAAGCCAGUGGAGAGUGGUACAUGCUAGAGGGUAACGCCUGGCCCUUUGCAGGACAGCACGUCAGCCAUGCGCCAUGGGACGAUGGUGGUGGCUGGGACACAGGAGGCCACGGCAGGAAAUGGGCAGGUGGGUGGGUCUAUGUAAGCUGGCUUUAGACUUCAAUCCACAAGCAUUUGCAGCUCAACUACUCAGCGUCUUAUCUUAUUUAAUCCUUUCAGCAAUAAACACUCUUUUCACAUGUAGUAAGGUUAAGGAGUCUACAUCACACCCUUUAUCAUUAUUAAUAAAGGGACACACCCUCCAGGGAUCCUAGGGAACCUCCUACCCACCCUGUGGUCACUCUAGGGAAAGGAAAGCUCUCAGGGACCGACGGGAGCCUGGGCACAUGCGCCACCACUCUCUCCUUUAUCCCCUCUAGCCCGGCUUGCUGGCUCUCACUUUCUUUUGUGCACUAGAACUCACGUACAAGUUGCACACCCAAACCCUUGCAUGCUGCAUUUCAGAGUCAACUUCAGUGAUUUUUGAGAGUGAUUUUGACAAUCCCAGUCAAAAUUCUAGCAGGUUUUUUUUUUUUACAUGACAAGUGGAUUCUAAAAUUCAUAGGAAAAUGCAAAUGACCUAGAAGAGCCAAAGCAAUUUUGGAAGGAGUAAAGUCGAAUGGCUGACGCUACCAGAUUUCAAGAUUCACUUGAAACGCACAGGAAUCAAGACAGGGUGGUGUCGACAGAAGGAAGGCGUCAGAGCAGGGUGACAGGAGGCAGGGCCACACACAGACGGCUGAUUGAUACCCGACAAAACCGCCGAGGUAAUUUCACAGGGAAAGGAACUCUUUUGAACAAAUGGUGCACCAACAAUUGGAUAACCAUACGGAAAAAAUUUAAAAAACAGAAGAACAUUGACCCUUCACGCACAUCAAACAUAAAUUAACUCAGAAUCCAUCAUAGGCUGGGUGUUGUGGCUCAUGCCUUUAAUCCUAGCACUUUGGGAGGCCAAGGCAGGCGGAUCACCUGAGGUCAGG